This 253-nucleotide ribosomal RNA is filed under the name uncultured bacterium. RNAcentral describes it as "partial 16S ribosomal RNA". It matches the Rfam family "Bacterial small subunit ribosomal RNA", at positions 524 to 776 of the family's 1533-position model. The record is from RNAcentral.
UACGAAGGGGGCUAGCGUUGUUCGGAAUCACUGGGCGUAAAGCGUAUGUAGGCGGAUUGUUAAGUCAGGGGUGAAAUCCCGAGGCUCAACCUCGGAACUGCCUUUGAUACUGGCUAUCUUGAGUCCGGGAGAGGUGAGUGGAACUCCUAGUGUAGAGGUGAAAUUCGUAGAUAUUAGGAAGAACACCAGUGGCGAAGGCGGCUCACUGGCCCGGAACUGACGCUGAAAUACGAGAGCGUGGGGAGCAAACAGG